This 662-nucleotide small RNA is filed under the name Pongo abelii (Sumatran orangutan). RNAcentral describes it as "retained intron". The record is from RNAcentral. Lineage: Eukaryota; Metazoa; Chordata; Mammalia; Primates; Hominidae.
GGGCGGCCAUGGGGCAACCGGCGGCCAGGGCGUCAAGGGCCAGGUAGCGACGGCUGGCGGCGGCGCGGCGGCGGGGCCUGCGGGCUCGGUCCGGCAUGUAGACGACCCCGCAGGCGCCCGCGGCAGCGAACGGCAUCAGUGUUUUUCUGACCGAAGUUCUCAUUUCCUGACAAUGGAAAUGGAACAAGAAAAAAUGACCAUGAAUAAGGAAUUGAGUCCAGACGCGGCUGCUUACUGCUGCUCGGCCUGCCACGGCGACGAGACCUGGAGUUACAACCACCCCAUCCGGGGCCGGGCUAAGUCUCGCAGCCUGUCUGCCUCGCCCGCCCUGGGGAGCACCAAGGAGUUCAGGAGGACACGCUCUCUCCAUGGGCCGUGCCCGGUGACCACUUUUGGACCAAAGGCCUGUGUGCUGCAGAACCCCCAGACCAUCAUGUGAGUGCCGGGGGCCAUGGGAUGGGGGAGUCCUCGGGAUGUGUGUGGAGUUGUGGGAUCGCUGUGUUGAGGAGGAUUCUAGCACUUCACCUGAGAAGUACAUGUUUUAGGUCAUUUAAACAAAAAGCCACAUGGGCGUCUUCCCUGAACCCCCUGAGUGCAGGCAUCCGAGCGGGGGCUCCCCAGCUGUGGCUUUUCCAGUGGCUUUGAGAAAGUGGACGGCAGGC